AUCUGGGCGGCGGAAUUCAGGAUGACUGGCGGGCUUUGCGCUUGUCCGGUCGUUUGAUGUUUCCGUCGCCGUAUGGACGUCGCGACCUGUUUGUCGUCGGUCCUUGCUCGGAGGAACCGCAAUCGAGUUCAUUGCAUGGUGCGUUUCGGCGUGCCGAGCGGUGAAGAUGCGGCUCUCUGGCUGACGGUGGACAGUAAGCAACGGUGUCCGGUGUGGUGUCUCGCACUCUACGCCGACGCCGGUCUGCGACGAUUUCUUCGGGCCUCUUUCCGACCCGUCUUGAAACACGGACCAAGGAGUCUAACAUGCGCGCGAGUCGCGGGGUUUCGAGCGUACCAUGGUGCGCUCGUUACAUGCGAAACCCGUACGUUGAAGGCGUAAUGAAAGUGAACAGGGAAGAUGGCGUUCCGAGUCCACGUACCGUGAUCGAGUGUCGCGGCCGGACGUCCGCACUCCCGGGGCGUCUCAAUGGCUCGUCGCGGAUGCGGAUGGUCGUCUCUCGGGGCGGCCAUCGGUCUGCGAUGGACUGA
RNAcentral lists this ribosomal RNA (530 nucleotides) under Fiorinia ficicola. RNAcentral's name for it is "eukaryotic LSU rRNA". Lineage: Eukaryota; Metazoa; Arthropoda; Insecta; Hemiptera; Diaspididae. The record is from RNAcentral.